This 492-nucleotide ribosomal RNA is filed under the name uncultured bacterium. Its description in RNAcentral is "partial 16S ribosomal RNA". It matches the Rfam family "Bacterial small subunit ribosomal RNA", at positions 29 to 507 of the family's 1533-position model. The record is from RNAcentral.
AGUGAACGCUGGCGGUAGGCCUAACACAUGCCAGUCGAACGGCAGCACAGUAAGAGCUUGCUCUUACGGGUGACGAGUGGCGGACGGGUGAGGAAUACAUCGGAAUCUACUUUUUCGUGGGGGAUAACGUAGGGAAACUUACGCUAAUACCGCAUACGACCUACGGGUGAAAGCAGGGGAUCUUCGGACCUUGCGCGAUUGAAUGAGCCGAUGUCGGAUUAGCUAGUUGGCGGGGUAAAGGCCCACCAAGGCGACGAUCCGUAGCUGGUCUGAGAGGAUGAUCAGCCACACUGGAACUGAGACACGGUCCAGACUCCUACGGGAGGCAGCAGUGGGGAAUAUUGGACAAUGGGCGCAAGCCUGAUCCAGCCAUACCGCGUGGGUGAAGAAGGCCUUCGGGUUGUAAAGCCCUUUUGUUGGGAAAGAAAAGCAGCAGGUUAAUACCCCGCUGUUCUGACGGUACCCAAAGAAUAAGCACCGGCUAACUUCGUG